CCUACGGGUGGCAGCAGUGGGGAAUAUUGCACAAUGGGGGAAACCCUGAUGCAGCGAUGCCGCGUGGAGGAAGAAGGUUUUCGGAUUGUAAACUCCUUUUAUCAGAGACGAUAAUGACGGUACCUGUAUUAAAAGCUCCGGCUAACUACGUGCCAGCAGCCGCGGUAAUACGUAGGGAGCGAGCGUUGUCCGGAAUUACUGGGUGUAAAGGGGGCGUAGGCGGGAUGGCAAGUCAGAUGUGAAAACUGAGGGCUCAACUUUCAGACUGCAUUUUAAACUGUUGUUCUUGAGUGAAGUUGAGGUAAGCGGAAUGCCUGGUGUAGCGGUGAAAUGCGUAGAGAUUAGACAGAACAUCGGUGGCGAAGGCGGCUUACUGGGCUUUUACUGACGCUGAGGCUCGAAAGCGUGGGGAGCAAACAGGAUUAGAUACCCCUGUAGUC
RNAcentral lists this ribosomal RNA (440 nucleotides) under uncultured bacterium. Its description in RNAcentral is "partial 16S ribosomal RNA". It matches the Rfam family "Bacterial small subunit ribosomal RNA", at positions 338 to 795 of the family's 1533-position model. The record is from RNAcentral.